This is a long non-coding RNA of Oreochromis niloticus (Nile tilapia), 2634 nucleotides long. RefSeq lists it as uncharacterized. NCBI's taxonomy places the organism in Eukaryota, Metazoa, Chordata, Actinopteri, Cichliformes, Cichlidae. The transcript has 4 exons. The record is from RefSeq and is a predicted model, not a curated record.
AGGAUCUUGAGCUUUAUUCUGAAAGGCUUAUGUGGAAAAUAAACAAGCGGACACGCGAUGGUUUUACAUCGUUGUUGACAACGCAUAAAAAUAGGCGCUUGUCAGGUCGUGUGGUUAUAUUAAAUAUAAGCGAAAGAGAGAACCUUCAAGAAAUGAAUAUAGCCACUACAGUGACCAUCAAGACCAUUAAAUUUGGAUAAUAAAACUCGAGGUGGAAACCAGGAGGCAGCCGGAAGAAUACAUCCGAGGACAGGACACAUCAAGGUGCGGCAUGAGGAGAGAUACAACGGGAGAAAGAUGGUGCAGAGAUAAUCGUGGACCAAGUAAAGAAGCAGACACCAAACUGAGUAGACAAAACACACUAAGAGCUCAAUAUUAUUGAGCUUUAGUCAGUUCUCUGCAUUCUUCAGUGGUUUAAAAAAUGUAGUUGUAGUUAAUUAAUGUACUUUAUUUGAAGCAUUGCAGGCCUUAGUGAAAUAGAGACACAGCUCCUAAACCUUUAAGACAAACAGUGAAGUAAGACAGCUUCUAAAGUCGUUCAAAGUUGCUUAGCCCUGGUAAGCCGCAAAUACGCUAACAAAAAUGAAAAAAUUGUGAUGAUAAAAAAAAGUUUAGUUUGGGAUCUGGAGCUUAAAGAAUUGUUUAGCAUUGUAAGCAUUUAUUAUUUAAAAAAAUGAAAACUCUUCCAUAAGUGAAACUGAUCAAAAGCUGAAGGUUGUGAACAUAUGGAUGUGCACUGUGUUUAUGGAACAAGUGCCAACUUGGUUUAAUCAGUGUGAAAAGAGAAAAUGGGAUGAUCCACACAGUAGUGUGUCAAAAUGUAUUAUUUUCUCAAUCAGCAAAGUAAUUUUGGUCUGUGCUGAUAUCUUUGGUUUAUUUAUAGUUUUUGUAGUGCUCCCUACUACAAAAAUAUAAAGAAGAAUAUAAAUUGUCCAAAAUAUUUGAGAGUUACUAAAUUAGCUUGGCAUGAGUUUCACUGUGGCACAGACGGCUGUCAGCAAACAUCAUGUGUACAGAUUCAUCUUUAAUAUUUCUUGAUUUUGAUUUGUGGACUACCAGUCCAAAAAGAAGGCAGAUUUUUGUUGUAAUCAUCCCAUCCUUUAUUUAUCCCCUAUCUUAUUACAGAAAAUGAUAGCUUUUAUAUGCGUGUGUAACUUUAUAAUUGUGUAUGUGUUAGCCUGAUGUGCACACACUGCCUGAGCCCUGCUUUUCCCUCAGAGAACCUGUACGCCGUGUCCCGUACGCCAGAAAGCUGCUCUACCAGGAGCUGCAGUCCGUGACCAUCAUCCCUCGACUCGAGCUGUCGCGCUACAGCGAGUGAGCAGGACAAGGACAGAGAUGUGUUGGGUGGAGACGAGGUUGUGCUCAGUGUGCUGAGGUGAAGCAUCCAAACCACACAGCCUGUUCUUCAAUCCGGGAUCGUGUCCCAAAUCAGAGCUGCGGAAGGGUAAGCGUCACAGUGAGUGUGCUGCAGCUGAUGUUGACCUGAAGAAUCGUGUCUCGCAGGUACAGUCUGCAGUCUGUGAAGUGGGGCUCCUGCUGCUCAGGUGUUCUCACUGAAGUCCGUUUCACCUGAUGAGAGGAGGCAGCUCUGACUUGAGGCUGUUCAAGAAUGAGCGCCACUUGAUCUGGUUCCACCUCUACCACAGGCAGAGAAACACAGGCCUGGACUCUUUGUUGGCCAGACAAAAUCAGAAACGGAAAUCAUUGGUUUUUACAACUGGGUCCAGUUCUACCUGCAAAGGAUAUGAGGCCAGGGAGCAUGAUUUGGUAAGUAUAACAUUUCACCAGACAGAAGAGUUUGAUUUCCUUUGAUUUCAGUAUUCUCAGCCGGUCGGCCUCAUGUGUGCCUGAUCACAAGUCGGUCCACUUCAUACAUGCACAGUAGCGCAGGCAAAUAGUUGCUCACACGCUCACUGUGGCCAUUAUUGAGCUCACGUUGGGUGGAGAUGAGAAGUUUCAAAGAGAUUUAAUUUAUAUAUUUUAUAUAAUAAAGUAAAUGUACGAAUGACCGGCAAUAAUUCAGUCACUGAAAUUAUCCAUGAAAUUAGCUAAGUAAUUCCUAAAAGUCUGUAGAUUGGCUUUUACAACAAGGAAGCAGGUUUUCUCAUUAGCAGAAAUGCUCAAUAGACAGAAAAACAGAAACCCUAAAAGAAAGUUACCGCGACUUUAAGAGAAACGGCCUUGUUGCAGAUGAAGAGUUGUUUGUUGACAGUAUAGAUGGUUUGUUUUUAAACCUCUUACCACUCACAGAGUCCCCGGUGACGGUCUAGCUAUGUCAGAUGCCAGUCAUUUAAGAGACUAAUCAUGUUUUGGAAUUUAAAUUGUGCAAACUCACUUUGUUCAACACAGCCCAGAGUAACAUUAAAAAUAAAACAUAUUGGAACUAAUUUUGUUGGACGCAAGAAAAACUGGAGCAUCUUUGUAGGGAGCCGAACUAGGGCUUGCAAGUUUUGCAGUGGCUUUGCAGUGACUUUGCUAUCUGCACAGAGCGUUUCUUUAUCGUCAUCGCCGGCGUGCUUUGUACCUCAGGCUCAUCAGAGACAAUCGUAUCCAGCAUUUUAUCAAACUGUUGUCUGCUACAGAGUUAAAAGUAUUGUACUAGUAGUAAUAUAGCAUCCACCAUCUCCUGCU